This 336-nucleotide ribosomal RNA is filed under the name uncultured Thermincola sp. RNAcentral's name for it is "bacterial SSU rRNA". It matches the Rfam family "Bacterial small subunit ribosomal RNA", at positions 1044 to 1382 of the family's 1533-position model. Lineage: Bacteria; Bacillati; Bacillota; Clostridia; Eubacteriales; Thermincolaceae. The record is from RNAcentral.
CAGUGGUUGUCGUCAGCUCGUGUCGUGAGAUGUUGGGUUAAGUCCCGCAACGAGCGCAACCCCUAUUGUUAGUUGCCAUCAUUCAGUUGGGCACUCUAGCGAGACUGCCGGUAAUAAACCGGAGGAAGUGGGAUGACGUCAAAUCAUCAUGCCCCUUAUGACCUGGGCUACACACGUGCUACAAUGGCCGGUACAGACGGACGCAAAGCCGCGAGGUGGAGCAAAUCCUAAAAAGCCGGUCUCAGUUCGGAUUGCAGGCUGCAAUUCGCCUGCAUGAAGUCGGAAUCGCUAGUAAUCGCAGGUCAGCAUACUGCGGUGAAUACGUUCCCGGGCCUU